This is a long non-coding RNA of Lutra lutra (Eurasian river otter), 2921 nucleotides long. RefSeq lists it as uncharacterized. NCBI's taxonomy places the organism in Eukaryota, Metazoa, Chordata, Mammalia, Carnivora, Mustelidae. The record is from RefSeq and is a predicted model, not a curated record. The transcript is spliced from 3 exons.
CCAGGGAAGCUUACUCUGGAUUGUCCUGAUCUUCCCUGCAAGAAUUUUAUGGAGUUCCUGGAGAAGCAGCUUAAAGGCUGAUGGGAAGUAUCCCAUAUUUUGGUCCUCCAGGGUUCACACUCUUCCACUGGUCUAUACUCAGCUCCUAUUGUUUCAUUAAAAAUCUCCACUUUAAUCCUGUGACCAGUGGAAUGUGUUUGACAACAUCUGUCCAAGGAACCACAGAGGAGAAGCCAUUUCUACUGUUCAUGCUUCAGAGGUAGGACAGUACCCAGUACGAGGACAGACACUGAAGCCAGAAACCAGCCCUCCAUCCCAUUUGGUAACUCCAUGACCACAAAGUAAACAACGUCUUAUGCUUUUGUCUGCUCAUCUGUAAAAUGUGAAUCAUGAUAGUGCAGUAUCACAGUAUUGUCACAGGAUGAGAAAGACUAUUUCAAGGGAUUUAGCACAGUGCCUAAGAAAGAGCAGCAGCUCUGACUAAAUGGCCCCUGCAGUCCUCCUUAGGCUCACAGCAGAACCCUGGGGGAAAAAGUCUGUGUGAACACUAAUAUCCCCUCCCUGCCCUGGAGGAUCUGAGGCUUGUGCAGAAGAAAGUGGGCUGCUGGGGCUGUCCCCUGAUCCACAGUGUGGAAUGAUCUAUAAUCCUCACUGUAGGAGAGGCUGUGAGCUCCUGUCCAUGUUCUUCCCCAGUAUGUACAAAGCAAAUAAAUGCUAAACUGCUUCAGAAGACCUGAUGGAGAGGAAGAAAGUGGGAAUGAAGGAUUUGAAAGUUAUUUCAUCUUUCUAAGUCUCAAAUUACUCAUAUUACAAUGGACAAAAUGAAUAUUACAUUACAGAAUGUUGUGAUGAUUAUAUACACGUAUGUAAUAUCAGCAAGGUGUUUCCUGGCACUCAGUGAUUUCCUCUUUGGAUCUGAGCAAUGCUAAACAUUCAGGUAAUCUCUGGUCAGUUAAGAAAAAAAGAGUACAUGACUAGGUUUCUGUAGGUCCUAAUGUGUGAGCAUAAUCCAAGUUUUCAGAGGUUGAAGAAGAAUUCCUGGGAAAUGGAGUCCAGCCCUGAGAACAAGAUGAGGAGCUGCUCCUGGUGCUCAUGUAGGGAAGGAUGCAGGUGGAUACAAACCUGAGAGGAGGAUCUGUGUGGGUUGUCUGGGUGUUGCAGAACUUCUUUUCCUUUAGUGGCCACAGUUCUUGGUCAUGCUGCUUCAAAGAAUGAAGAAGUAGAUCAGAUGAAAGAAGAGUGGUGGGCAGCAAAGCAAAGUUUAUUGAGCCGUAGUACAUAAACUCCCCAAUGGGAGGGGCCCUGUGAGAGUUGCCUACCCCCACCCCAAAGUUUCUAAGUGUAGGGGUUUUUAUGGCCUCGUUGGUGAACUGUUUUUAUCUGACGAACACUCCAUGCUCCUGUCACCCAAUCAGGUUUUUUGUUCACAAACUCAUCUACCUAUUCAGUAGUUGUUCACGUGGGAAAGGGUGGAGGGCUCCUUCCAGGGUGUGAAAAAUCCUCUCACAGGUGGUUUCCUCUCAAGGCGGGACCCCUUCUCCCUGCCUGCCUUUCUUUGUGGGAACCUUGCAAAAUGAGAUUAUCACUCAGUAGAACUAGUUGAGGUUUGAUUUUCUGCCUUUGAAACAAGAUCCUAGGUGAAGUGGAUGUUGCUGGUCCAUGAAUGAAACUUUGAGUAUCAAGGACUUGGAAUACAGAUCUAAAUAAUUUCAUUUUCAAAUAUGCCAUAAUAACCCAUAUAAGCAAUGCAAUGUCUCAAUAUGACACCUUAGAGGACAGGUGAGGCCCUGUUGAGACCCAGGCCCUCAGAUUCCUCCCACUGGGACCCACCCCAGUCAGGAAUCAUGAUGACAGGGUGUGGGGCACAAGAUCCCGAGUUCGCCUGUGGAAAGGGGCUGACUCUGUUGUGGGAGUAAUUCAUUCUGCUUCCAAAGUGUCUCUGCAUUUGAUAACACCACCUGAUUCUUAGAAAGAGAAUGUCAUGAUCUCAGGAACUAGAGGUAAACCGCAGGUAUGGUAAUUCUGUGAUCGGAUAUCCAUGUUACCAAAGGCAACAAAUUUUCUGUGAAGUAAAGGUUUUCCUCAUCCUUUGAAAGUGGACUCCUGAGUGAUGGGAGGGGACUUUUACAUUUUCAUACAUUACACUUUUUCCCUAUUUUUGAAAUCUCAUAGCCAACCAGUUACUAAUCACAAAACUCAAUUCUCAAUAAUUAUCUUUUGUUUUAUUAAUUUGUGAGGGACAUUACCUUUCUUUUCUUUAGAGAUGUAGGGAGUGUGUAUUAUCCUUCUUUUUAACCAUCUGAUCCUUAUUCAGGAUCUUUGGUUUCUUUGUAGAACCCUGGAGAACAAAGUUAGAGGCAUAUCCCCCAUGCUGGAGAUGCCUGAUGUGCUCAGGGGCCUCUUCCAAUGGGGCAGUGCUGGUUUUCUCCCAGCACUGAUCGCUGAACCUGGAGUGAUGUGCCACUUCUACCUCUAGGAUACAGGAUUUAUACAUUGGUCUCUCCUAUACCCAAAAUAGCUGAUUGUUUUCUUUGAGAUUUAAUGGUCACUGGAUUCCUUCAGGAUGGCCUCAGACACUAAUAAAAGACAUACAAUUUUUACAUUUGACAGAUUAUUGCACAACUAAAGAACUAUAAUGUCCAUGAAUAACAUCAGUAAGUAAUAAUAACCAGAAAUAUUUAUGUUAAAUGUGUACCCCUUUCUGUCUUCAUUCUGAACCAUUCAGAUACUAGACUUCCCUCUCUCCACAGUGAAAUAACAGACAAAUGGAUUUUUUUUUCUGACCUAUCCACGUUGUAUUUUCAUAGUUUCCAGACAGUUGAAUUUAGUUGGAAAUCGUGUCAGAUUGCUAUAAUUUGGACCAUAAUUGUUGAUAUCACAUGGGGCUCACUGUCUAAGCAGAAUCUAUGAUGUCUUCAUAU